This 62-nucleotide transfer RNA is filed under the name Nesidiocoris tenuis. Its description in RNAcentral is "tRNA-His". Lineage: Eukaryota; Metazoa; Arthropoda; Insecta; Hemiptera; Miridae. The record is from RNAcentral.
AUCUAAAUAGUUUAAAUAGAAUAAUAAUUUGUGGAGUUAUAGGUAUUAAUAAAUUUUAGAUC